This 377-nucleotide long non-coding RNA is filed under the name Musa acuminata (dwarf banana). RNAcentral describes it as "long non-coding RNA (MACU_LNC002806)". The record is from RNAcentral. Lineage: Eukaryota; Viridiplantae; Streptophyta; Magnoliopsida; Zingiberales; Musaceae.
CCUCCCAGGCCAUUUGCCAAUGGACCACUACCACCAGCUCCACUUCCAGCAGUACGCCCCCCAUCGAUGCCAGUUGGACAAUUUCCUCCCCCAAUGCAGUGGCCUGCCCACCCUCAACCUGGACAAGGCCUUCCACAACCUGUGAUGCCUCCACCACCACUCCAACAGUUCAGGCCUCCAGCAAACUUGCCACCACCUCCACCCACAGGUAUGAUGAGGCCGCCACCACCACCACCUUCUGGGGUGGGUGUUCCACCACCUGCUCUAUGGAGACCACCUCCACCACCUCAGCAGAUGGCUGGAAGGCCCAUGCCUCCACCUCCGAUGCCCAUGCCACCAAAUAUGAUGCCAAAUGGCUCGGUUCCAUGACAUCACAC